RNAcentral lists this transfer RNA (72 nucleotides) under Capra hircus (goat). It matches the Rfam family "tRNA". From Rfam's summary of the family: Transfer RNA (tRNA) molecules are approximately 80 nucleotides in length. Their secondary structure includes four short double-helical elements and three loops (D, anti-codon, and T loops). RNAcentral also lists the same sequence under 1 other name. Lineage: Eukaryota; Metazoa; Chordata; Mammalia; Artiodactyla; Bovidae. The record is from Rfam by way of RNAcentral.
UCCCUGACAGUCCAGUGGUUAGGACUUGGUGCUUUCACUGUAAGGGCCUGGGUUCAAUCCCUGGUCAGGGAA